UACGUAGGGUGCGAGCGUUGUCCGGAAUUAUUGGGCGUAAAGGGUUCGUAGGCGGUUUUUCGCGUCGGGAGUGAAAACCAGGUGCUUAACACCUGGCUUGCUUUCGAUACGGGCAGACUAGAGGCAUGCAGGGGAGAACGGAAUUCCUGGUGUAGCGGUGAAAUGCGCAGAUAUCAGGAGGAACACCGGUGGCGAAGGCGGUUCUCUGGGCAUGUCCUGACGCUGAGGAGCGAAAGUGUGGGGAGCGAACAGG
This 253-nucleotide ribosomal RNA is filed under the name uncultured bacterium. Its description in RNAcentral is "partial 16S ribosomal RNA". It matches the Rfam family "Bacterial small subunit ribosomal RNA", at positions 524 to 776 of the family's 1533-position model. The record is from RNAcentral.